This 435-nucleotide long non-coding RNA is filed under the name Carica papaya (papaya). RNAcentral describes it as "long non-coding RNA (CPAP_LNC014015)". Lineage: Eukaryota; Viridiplantae; Streptophyta; Magnoliopsida; Brassicales; Caricaceae. The record is from RNAcentral.
AGAGAGAGAGAGAGAAGGAAAAAGGAAAAGGGUGAGAGACAAGUGUAGUCUUGAAGAACAAUAGCACUAAUGGGAAUUAAAAUUGAAUCCCAGUUUUUCCUUUUACUUGAAAAAGAGGUCCCUUGCUUGGUAGAUCAGUUUCGUUAUGUGAUGAAAAAUAAAAGAAUUGGAAAAAAGAGACAAGGGUGGCAACGAAGUAAGCAAGCGAGCAUUCAUGGAGGAUCUGUAAACUUUUUUUUUAUUUGCUUUUGAGUUACUCUAGACAGAUGAAAGCGGUGAGUAGAAUAAUAUGAUAGAGUUUAGAGUAUAAUUAUCAGAGUUUGAAUAGGGUGGGGGGGGGGGGGAGGAGAGAGAGAGAGAGAGAGAGAGAUUCAGUACGUGUAGGUGUAGGGUUGGGAAUCGUGGGAGUAAGAAGACAAGUUGGUCAACUUUUUG